Molecule: long non-coding RNA, 550 nt
Organism: Rhineura floridana
Lineage: Eukaryota; Metazoa; Chordata; Lepidosauria; Squamata; Rhineuridae
Exons: 3
Source: RefSeq, a predicted model, not a curated record
CUCCCAGAGUUCUUUGCACUGAGCCAUGAUGGUACAUAUAAUUUUACAUUUUCAGAAAAAUAGCCAGGUUCAUGACACGCCCCUUUUUGGGAAGAUGACAUCAGAACUUGAACAGUUCUGCUUCAUCGCCAACAGCAACCAGGGAUAAGAAAAAACACCAAACUAGCAUUAUUAUCUUUCCGGCGUCAGCCUCCUGGAUUGACAAAGUGCCCCUCUCCACCCCACCUCUUUGUUGUUGUUGUUAUAUGCCUCCAAGUUGACUACGACUUAUGGUGACCCUAUGAAUCAGCAACCUCCAAGAGCAUCUGUCAUGAACCACACUGUUCAGAUCUUGUAAAUUCAGGGUCCAGGGCAGGGAACACAGGCAGCUCCUCCCCAAUCUCCGAGCGGUGAGAUUUCCAAGGUCCCUGCGCUCAUCCAAGGUUUGGUUUCCUUUGGGAAGACGGUUAGCGGAGACUGCGGUGUCUUUAUGAAAUAUGGUUUAUUUACACACGGCACCCCAAAAAGCCAUGGUGCGGAGUGUGAUGCGUCCUUCCCUGGCUCUCCCUGU